GGCGUGGGUUAGCAUGCAAGUCGUGCGAGAAGUCUUUUGCUUGCAUUAGACGGAAAGCGGCGAAAGGGAGAGUAACGCGUGGAUACCUACCUCCAGGUUCGGGAUAGCUGCGGGAAACUGCAGGUAAUACCGAAUAACAUCUCCGGAUCAAAGGUGUGAUUCCGCCUGGAGACGGAUCCGCGUCCUAUUAGCUUGUUGGUGGGGUAACGGCCUACCAAGGCUACGAUGGGUACCGGGCGUGAGAGCGUGACCCGGCUCACUGGGACUGAGACACUGCCCAGACACCUACGGGUGGCUGCAGUCGAGAAUCUUUGGCAAUGGACGAAAGUCUGACCAAGCGACGCCGCGUGCGGGAUGAAGGCCUUCGGGUUGUAAACCGCUGUCAGUUGGGAGGAAAUCGCAUGGGGUCCUCCCCAUGCGUUGACCUAUCUUCAGAGGAAGGACGGGCUAAGUUCGUGCCAGCAGCCGCGGUAAGACGAACCGUCCAAACGUUAUUCGGAAUUACUGGGCUUAAAGGGUGCGUAGGCGGCCCUGUAAGUUGGGUGUGAAAUCCCUCGGCUCAACCGAGGAAUUGCGCCCAAUACUGCAGGGCUAGAGGAAGACAGAGGUGAGCGGAACUUGUGGUGGAGCGGUGAAAUGCGUUGAUAUUACAAGGAACACCUGUGGCGAAAGCGGCUCACUGGGUCUUUUCUGACGCUGAGGCACGAAAGCUGGGGGAGCGAA
RNAcentral lists this ribosomal RNA (723 nucleotides) under uncultured Planctomycetota bacterium. Its description in RNAcentral is "bacterial SSU rRNA". It matches the Rfam family "Bacterial small subunit ribosomal RNA", at positions 41 to 772 of the family's 1533-position model. Lineage: Bacteria; Pseudomonadati; Planctomycetota. The record is from RNAcentral.